RNAcentral lists this unclassified non-coding RNA (237 nucleotides) under Hevea brasiliensis (rubber tree). Lineage: Eukaryota; Viridiplantae; Streptophyta; Magnoliopsida; Malpighiales; Euphorbiaceae. The record is from RNAcentral.
GUGAGAUAUGAAAAAUAUAAGUUUUUGGUUUUUAAAAGUUUUCAAUUAGAUCUAUGAUGAUCCGAAAAUUAGAUCGACGAUUCGAGGCCACCGAUGGACUCAGCACAUCGAGACCUUCGAGAUUGGACUGACCCCGCUUUAAUUGGACACUGUUUGAAAAAAGUGAUCAUCGGAUAGUCCAAAUCGUUUGGUGAAAUUUUCGACUUUUUGACACCCGAAAAUUAAAUAUAAUUAUAU